UGCCAUUUAGGGUUUAGCAUAUAGCAAAAUAGGCCCAGGGCUAUGCCCUCCCUCGAGGGAUUGGGCGCGUGCCGUCCUAAGGCAAUUCGUCUCGACCUGUGCGCGGACUAGGUUAUGCAGAGGGUAACCGUACUGUUGAUACACCCUUGCGGUGGAAACACUCGAACAAAUCAAGGGCUCGUAAGCCUUGGUAGUCGUGGACAUUUUUUGGCAAAGACUUAUUCAACGUCCGUGUCUAGGGAAGGCUCGUGGGUCACCUGAACCGAGCUGUGUCAGUCACGGUGCAUGACUUAGACUUAUUCUCGGUAUGCGACAGUCCGUGACUAGGGAAGGCUCGUAGGCAAGCAAGCUGGCUGGCUGGCCAGCACCCAGUCACAAGUCCCUAGUCACCAGGCAAGCAGGACUGCUGGUUGGCUGGCUGGCCAGCACCCAGUCACAAGUCCCCAGGGAAGCAGGCUGGCUGGCUGGCCUGCACCCAGUCACAUGUCCCUAGUCACCAGGCAAACAGGCAUGCUGGUUGGCUGGCUGGCCAGCACCCAGUCACAAGUCCCCAGGGAAGCAGGCUGGCUGGCUGGCCUGCACCCAGUCACGAGUCGCGACUCACGAGCCCCUAGUCACCAGUCACCAGUCACGAGUCGCGACACACGAGCCCACAGUCACCAGUCACGAGUCGCGACUCACGAGCCCCCAGUCACCAGUCACGAGCCCCUAGUCACGAGUCACUUAGUAACGCAAUCCAAAUUUUGUUUUCAAUGAAAUUUUUGAUGUCCAUGUUAUGUGUUUUAUGAUGCAAGUCCCAUGAUAAAUUUUAAUCAUAAUUAUAUUUUUAAUUUUUUAAAUAUUUUUUAAUAAUAUUUUUAAUAUUUUCUGCACUUUAAAAAAUUAUAAUUAAAUAAUCCCUUUCCAGAAAAUUCCAAUUUUUUGUGGGAAGUGUUAUUUAAUUAUUAACAACGUCCCUGUAAAAUUUCAAAAAAAAAUUCCAAGUCUAGGUACCUCAACUCAAAUAUGUGCCCCUUAUAUAAUUUUUUAAAAAUUCACCGUCUGUCAAAAAAUUCCAAAUUUUUUUGAGGAGAUUAAUAUUGGGUUUAUGAACAUUCGUGCAAAAUUUCAUGAAAAAAUUCGAAGUCUAGGUCCCUCAAAAGUGGUUUUCCUCCUAUAGCCAAAAAAGGGCUCUCUUUCUACAAAACUGGAAAAAACACUUCAGACAUAUAUAGGGGAGGGUAUGUGUGCUCCUGGCAUGGGCCAGAUUUUAGGCCAGCGCCUGGACAAAAAAAAAAUUGAAGGAUGUGGGCAUGAUAAGGCAAAUGUUGGCUUGUGAAUUGACGGACGGUGUAGCAAAAUCAAAAAUUUGGCUCGAAUGUGCAAAACCACCACGCGCGCGACGACUACGACUACGACUAAGACGUGGACGUGGCGCGCGCGCGUGUGUUGGCUUGCUAGAUGUGGGGCGUAGCAACGGAAUCCAAAUUUUUCAAUCGGAUGUGGGUAAAACAACACGCGCGCGACGACUACGACUACGACUAAGACGUGGACGUGGCGCGCGCGCGUGUGUUGGCUUGCUAGAUGUGGGGCGUAGCAACGGAAUCCAAAUUUUUCAAUCGGAUGUGGGUAAAACAACACGCGCGCGACGACUACGACUACGACUAAGACGUGGACGUGGCGCGCGCGCGUGUGUUGGCUUGCUAGAUGUGGGGCGUAGCAACGGAAUCCAAAUUUUUCAAUCGGAUGUGGGUAAAACAACACGCGCGCGACGACUACGACUACGACUACGACUAAGACGUGGACGUGGCGCGCGCGCGUGUGUUGGCUUGCUAGUUGAGUGCCGUAGCAACGGAAUCCAAAUUUUUCAAUCGGAUGUGGGUAAAACAACACGCGCGCGACGACUACGACUACGACUACGACUAAGACGUGGACGUGGCGCGCGCGCGUGUGUUGGCUUGCUAGUUGAGUGCCGUAGCAACGGAAUCCAAAUUUUUCAACCGGUCCCCAGUCACCAGUCACGAGUCGCGACUCACGAGCUCCCAGUCACCAGUCCCCAGUCGCGACUCCUGAGCCCCCAGUCACCAGUCACCAGUCACGAGUCGCGACUCACGAGCUCCCAGUCACCAGUCACGAGUCACCAGUCACAAGUCACGAGUCGCGACUCACGAGCCCCCAGUCAAUAGUCACCACUCCCCAGUCACCAGUCCCCAGUCACCAGUCACUAGUCACGAGUCGCGACUCACGAGCUCCCAGUCAACGUCCGUGUCUAGGGAAGGCUCGUGGGUCACCUGAACCGAGCUGUGUCAGUCACGGUGCAUGACUUAGACUUAUUCUCGGUAUGCGACAGUCCGUGACUAGGGAAGGCUCGUAGGCAAGCAAGCGGGCUGGCUGGCCAGCACCCAGUCACAAGUCCCUAGUCACCAGGCAAGCAGGACUGCUGGCUGGCUGGCUGGCCAGCACCCAGUCACAAGUCCCUAGUCACCAGGCAAGCAGGACUGCUGGUUGCCUGGCUGGCCAGCACCCAGUCACAAGUCCCUAGUCACCAGGCAAGCAGGACUGCUGGCUGGCUGGCUGGCCAGCACCCAGUCACAAGUCCCUAGUCACCAGGCAAGCAGGACUGCUGGUUGGCUGGCUGGCCAGCACCCAGUCACAAGUCCCUAGUCACCAGGCAAGCAGGACUGCUGGUUGGCUGGCUGGCCAGCACCCAGUCACAAG
RNAcentral lists this long non-coding RNA (2697 nucleotides) under Cicer arietinum (chickpea). RNAcentral describes it as "long non-coding RNA (CARI_LNC003608)". Lineage: Eukaryota; Viridiplantae; Streptophyta; Magnoliopsida; Fabales; Fabaceae. The record is from RNAcentral.